GGAUGUGGCUCAAGUGGUAACACGCUCGCCUGGCAUGUGUGUGGCCUGGGUUCGAUCCUCAGUACCACAUACA
Molecule: transfer RNA, 73 nt
Filed under: Marmota monax (woodchuck)
Lineage: Eukaryota; Metazoa; Chordata; Mammalia; Rodentia; Sciuridae
Description: tRNA.Ala
Source: RNAcentral